AAUUCAGAAUCUGAACCAGCCCCCAGGACACUGAUCUUGAGGACAUCGUGGGACUGGGAGAGGAAGGGGGAGAUGUUGAGUAAACUGGCAAAGGUGGAAGAAAAAGGGAAGAAGGAUCACAGAGGGCUGCCCGAGUCCAGAGCUCAGAGGUCUGAAAAGAAGCAAAAGGACUGUAAACAAACCAGGUCAUUGAAUCACAAGCCCAGAGCCUGCUGACUGUUACUGCAAGCGGACGGUCCGCCCUCAGGACUGCAGGGGUGAAUUAUGGCCACCAAGUGCUCAGAGGCCUGGCUAUAAAUCCUCCCCUGCAUCCUUGUUAACCGUGUCCUUCCCUGGAGGCAGGUACAAGAAGAAGCAAAGCAAAGAAAGACCAGAGGCUGUCAUCUAACAGGCUACUCCAAACGGAGCAUCUUCCACAUGAGAUUAGAGAAGAAGAUUAUCCCCCUCAACACCUGUGUUUAUCUGUAUCCUUCAUGGUGUUCUACACAGCGACCCAAGGGCACCCUCCCUGACCUACUGUGAGACUCACUAUGCUGUUGAGUGUGAAAGAGUCUGGAAAGUAAGACCCCAAAAGAACUUCACAGAAGAAGCUGAUUCCUGUCCUGCCUCACCCCCGUAGCAGCACCCAAGACACCCUCACAGACCCUCACAUCCCCCUGGGAGACAUGGUGAAAACUGCUGAUCUCUGAGUGGUCUGAUCUGGGCAGAGAUGAGGGUUAGGGGCAGGGG
Molecule: long non-coding RNA, 729 nt
Organism: Bos taurus (domestic cattle)
Lineage: Eukaryota; Metazoa; Chordata; Mammalia; Artiodactyla; Bovidae
Source: Ensembl